RNAcentral lists this ribosomal RNA (756 nucleotides) under uncultured bacterium. RNAcentral describes it as "bacterial SSU rRNA". It matches the Rfam family "Bacterial small subunit ribosomal RNA", at positions 8 to 796 of the family's 1533-position model. The record is from RNAcentral.
AGAGUUUGAUCAUGGCUCAGAAUCAACGCUGGCGGCGCGCUUAACACAUGCAAGUCGAACGAGAAAGGGGAGCAAUCCCUGAGUAAAGUGGCGUACGGGUGAGUAACACGUGGGUAAUCUACCUUUUGGUGGGGAAUAACGCUGGGAAACCGGCGCUAAUACCGCAUAAUCUCGAAAGAGGAAAAGAGAAAUCUGCCGAAAGAGGAGCCCGCGGCUGAUUAGCUAGUUGGUGAGGUAAAGGCUCACCAAGGCAAUGAUCGGUAGCCGGCCUGAGAGGGCACACGGCCACACUGGCGCUGAAACACGGGCCAGACUCCUACGGGAGGCAGCAGUGGGGAAUCUUGCACAAUGGGGGAAACCCUGAUGCAGCGACGCCGCGUGAGUGAUGACGCCCUUCGGGGUGUAAAGCUCUUUCGGCAGGGACGAUAAUGACGGUACCUGAAGAAGAAGCUGCGGCUAACUACGUGCCAGCAGCCGCGGUAAUACGUAGGCAGCGAGCGUUGUUCGGAGUUACUGGGCGUAAAGAGUGCGUAGGCGGUUUUCUAAGUUUGGUGUGAAAUCUCCCGGCUCAACUGGGAGGGUGCGUCGAAGACUGGAAGGCUAGAGUGUGGGAGAGGUAAGCGGAAUUCCUGGUGUAGCGGUGAAAUGCGUAGAUAUCAGGAGGAACACCGGUGGCGAAGGCGGGUCUCUGGGCAACAACUGACGCUGAGGAGCGAAAGCGUGGGGAGCGAACAGGAUUAGAUACCCUAGUAGUCC